UACGUAGGGACCGAGCGUUGUCCGGAUUCAUUGGGCGUAAAGAGCUCGUAGGCGGCCACUCAAGUCGAAUGUGAAACCUCGAGGCUUAACCUCGAGCCUGCAUUCGAUACUGGGCGGCUAGAGUCUGGUAGGGGGAUCUGGAAUUCCUGGUGUAGCGGUGGAAUGCGCAGAUAUCAGGAGGAACACCGGUGGCGAAGGCGGGAUCCUGGGCCAGUACUGACGCUGAGGAGCGAAGGCCAGGGGAGCAAACGGG
This 253-nucleotide ribosomal RNA is filed under the name uncultured bacterium. Its description in RNAcentral is "partial 16S ribosomal RNA". It matches the Rfam family "Bacterial small subunit ribosomal RNA", at positions 524 to 776 of the family's 1533-position model. The record is from RNAcentral.